RNAcentral lists this ribosomal RNA (483 nucleotides) under uncultured bacterium. RNAcentral's name for it is "partial 16S ribosomal RNA". It matches the Rfam family "Bacterial small subunit ribosomal RNA", at positions 28 to 506 of the family's 1533-position model. The record is from RNAcentral.
AUUGAACGCUGGCGGCAUGCUUUACACAUGCAAGUCGAACGGCAGCGCGGGCUUCGGCCUGGCGGCGAGUGGCGAACGGGUGAGUAAUGCAUCGGAACGUGCCCAGUAGUGGGGGAUAGCCCGGCGAAAGCCGGAUUAAUACCGCAUACGACCUGAGGGUGAAAGCGGGGGACCGAAAGGCCUCGCGCUAUUGGAGCGGCCGAUGUCGGAUUAGCUAGUUGGUGGGGUAAAGGCUUACCAAGGCGACGAUCCGUAGCUGGUCUGAGAGGACGACCAGCCACACUGGGACUGAGGCACGGCCCAGACUCCUACGGGAGGCAGCAGUGGGGAAUUUUGGACAAUGGGGGCAACCCUGAUCCAGCCAUGCCGCGUGCGGGAAGAAGGCCUUCGGGUUGUAAACCGCUUUUGUUCGGGAAGAAAUCCUCUGGGCUAAUACCCCGGGGGGAUGACGGUACCGGAAGAAUAAGCACCGGCUAACUACGU